This 256-nucleotide unclassified non-coding RNA is filed under the name Hevea brasiliensis (rubber tree). Lineage: Eukaryota; Viridiplantae; Streptophyta; Magnoliopsida; Malpighiales; Euphorbiaceae. The record is from RNAcentral.
AAGAAAAGGAAAAGGAAAAGAAAAACAUUCAAUCAGCAUUGUGCUAUUGAGGAAGAGGAUCAUCGAGAGAUGAGUGAGGAUUGCAGGUGAAUAACCAAUGUCCAAAACACACUGAUUAAUUAUUCAUGGGUCAAUCCUCGGUUUGGAGUUAAAAUUAAGCGGUGGCUGAGUUUGGCAAAGUUGUUUAUCUAACACAAUCAAUGAUGGACUUAAAGGGUUGGUAAGGGUUAGUGCCUCACUAAGAUUUUAAUUUUUA